This 531-nucleotide ribosomal RNA is filed under the name uncultured Comamonadaceae bacterium. Its description in RNAcentral is "bacterial SSU rRNA". It matches the Rfam family "Bacterial small subunit ribosomal RNA", at positions 115 to 642 of the family's 1533-position model. The record is from RNAcentral. Lineage: Bacteria; Pseudomonadati; Pseudomonadota; Betaproteobacteria; Burkholderiales; Comamonadaceae.
AUAUCGGAACGUGCCCAGUCGUGGGGGAUAACGUAGCGAAAGCUACGCUAAUACCGCAUACGAUCUACGGAUGAAAGCGGGGGAUCGCAAGACCUCGCGCGAUUGGAGCGGCCGAUAUCAGAUUAGGUAGUUGGUGAGGUAAAGGCUCACCAAGCCGACGAUCUGUAGCUGGUCUGAGAGGACGACCAGCCACACUGGGACUGAGACACGGCCCAGACUCCUACGGGAGGCAGCAGUGGGGAAUUUUGGACAAUGGGCGCAAGCCUGAUCCAGCAAUGCCGCGUGCAGGAUGAAGGCCUUCGGGUUGUAAACUGCUUUUGUACGGAACGAAACGGUGAGCUCUAAUACAGUUUGCUAAUGACGGUACCGUAAGAAUAAGCACCGGCUAACUACGUGCCAGCAGCCGCGGUAAUACGUAGGGUGCGAGCGUUAAUCGGAAUUACUGGGCGUAAAGCGUGCGCAGGCGGUGAUGUAAGACAGAUGUGAAAUGCCCGGGCUCAACCUGGGACCUGCAUUUGUGACUGCAUCGCU